Molecule: long non-coding RNA, 232 nt
Filed under: Elaeis guineensis (African oil palm)
Lineage: Eukaryota; Viridiplantae; Streptophyta; Magnoliopsida; Arecales; Arecaceae
Description: long non-coding RNA (EGUI_LNC013219)
Source: RNAcentral
AGAGACUCUUGUACAAGGACUGAGUGGUGAGUUUCUCUUGUAUUGGUUUUAUUUUAUUCUCUCAUAGUGAAGCUUGCAUGCCCCGCAGAGGUAGGCUUGAGGCCGAUCUAUGAUUUGUAUUAUAUUUCUUACUUUAUUUCUUAUUUCUUCCUGCUACAUCGUGUGGUACCGAAUCCUGCACAAUAAUUGGUAUCACAGUAAGGUGGUGCUAGAGCAUAGGUUGCGACGGUGA